This 716-nucleotide unclassified non-coding RNA is filed under the name Chalaropsis thielavioides. Its description in RNAcentral is "sequence contains ITS1, 5.8S rRNA gene, ITS2, 28S rRNA gene". The stretch from base 441 to 716 matches the Rfam family "Eukaryotic large subunit ribosomal RNA", at positions 1 to 277 of the family's 3401-position model. Lineage: Eukaryota; Fungi; Ascomycota; Sordariomycetes; Microascales; Ceratocystidaceae. The record is from RNAcentral.
CAUAUGUGAACAUACCUUUUCUAGCUGCUUUGGCAGGCCUUUCGGGGUCUGCCGGUAGCAUUUAAAAACUCUUUAUAUUUCUAUAGAAUUAUUCAUUGCUGAGUGGCAUUAACUAAAUAAGUUAAAACUUUCAACAACGGAUCUCUUGGCUCUAGCAUCGAUGAAGAACGCAGCGAAAUGCGAUAAGUAAUGUGAAUUGCAGAAUUCAGUGAAUCAUCGAAUCUUUGAACGCACAUUGCGCCUGGCAGUAUUCUGCCAGGCAUGCCUGUCCGAGCGUCAUUUCACCACUCAAGCUCUGCUUGGUGUUGGAGGACCCGCGUUACCGCGGGCCGCCGAAAUGCAUCGGCUGUUGUAUUUGCAGCUUCCCUGUGUAGUAAUGCUUAGCUUACACUUUGAAGCUCUUAUAUGACAUGCCGGUAAACCCUCAAUUUUUGAAAGGUUGACCUCGGAUCAGGUAGGAAUACCCGCUGAACUUAAGCAUAUCAAUAAGCGGAGGAAAAGAAACCAACAGGGAUUGCCCUAGUAACGGCGAGCGAAGCGGCAACAGCUCAAAUUUGAAAUCUGGCUACUUUGUAGUCCGAGUUGUAAUUUGUAGAGGAUGCUUUUGGUGAGGUGCCUUCCGAGUUCCCUGGAACGGGACGCCAGAGAGGGUGAGAGCCCCGUACGGUUGGAUACCAAACCUUUGUAUAGCUCCUUCAACGAGUCGAGUAGUUUGG